GGGUCCGUAGCUCAGCUUGGUUAGAGCGCUCGGCUGAUAACCGAAAGAGAAGCCGGAAAAGAUCCCCUGUUCAAAUCAGGGCGGACCCA
This 89-nucleotide transfer RNA is filed under the name Thermoproteota archaeon. RNAcentral describes it as "tRNA-Ile". It matches the Rfam family "tRNA". Rfam says of the family: Transfer RNA (tRNA) molecules are approximately 80 nucleotides in length. Their secondary structure includes four short double-helical elements and three loops (D, anti-codon, and T loops). RNAcentral also lists the same sequence under 1 other name. Lineage: Archaea; Thermoproteati; Thermoproteota. The record is from RNAcentral.